UAGGGAAUCUUCGGCAAUGGACGAAAGUCUGACCGAGCAACGCCGCGUGAGUGAAGAAGGCUUUCGGAUCGUAAAACUCUGUUGGUAGAGAAGAACGUUGGUGAGAGUGGAAAGCUCAUCAAGUGACGGUAACUACCCAGAAAGGGACGGCUAACUACGUGC
RNAcentral lists this ribosomal RNA (162 nucleotides) under uncultured bacterium. RNAcentral describes it as "partial 16S rRNA". It matches the Rfam family "Bacterial small subunit ribosomal RNA", at positions 355 to 508 of the family's 1533-position model. The record is from RNAcentral.